Molecule: long non-coding RNA, 714 nt
Organism: Oncorhynchus keta (chum salmon)
Lineage: Eukaryota; Metazoa; Chordata; Actinopteri; Salmoniformes; Salmonidae
Exons: 4
Source: RefSeq, a predicted model, not a curated record
GUGCACAACAUUUGAGCUUUGAAACAUGCAUAUGGAACAUUUCUGAUAUAUUUUAUUUCAGCUCAUGAAACAUGGGACCAACACUUUACAUGUUGCCUUUAUAUUUUUGUUCAGUGACACUUUCAAGUUAAACAUAACUUUGCAACUAUUAUUUAUUCACACAUUCAAUAAGUAAGUAGCGUUGCACGAGCCUUGGCUUGUGAGAGGUCAGAACAGCUCAUAGGAUCUAUGCUCCUGCUCCUGUUUCUGUAGAGGCAGCUUGAUGAGAGAGCUUGUGAGAGGUCAGAACAGCUCAUAGGAUCUAUGCUCCUGUUUCUGUAGAGGCAGCUUGAUGAGAGAGCUUGUGAGAGGUCAGAACAGCUCAUAGGAUCUAUGCUCCUGUUUCUGUAGAGGCAGCUUGAUGAGAGAGCUUGUGAGAGGUCAGAACAGCUCAUAGGAUCUAUGCUCCUGUUUCUGUUUCUGUAGAGGCAGCUUGAUGAGAGAGCUUGUGAGAGGUCAGAACAGCUCAUAGGAUCUAUGCUCCUGUUUCUGUUUCUGUAGAGGCAGCUUGAUGAGAGAGCUUGUGAGAGGCCAGAACAGCUCAUAGGAUCUCUGCUCCUGUUUCUGUAGAGGCAGCUUGAUGAGAGAGCUUGUGAGAGGCCAGAACAGCUCAUAGGAUCUAUGCUCCUGUUUCUGUAGAGGCAGCUUGAUGAGAGAGCUUGUGAGAGGUCAGAA